This is a long non-coding RNA of Neodiprion virginianus, 312 nucleotides long. RefSeq lists it as uncharacterized. NCBI's taxonomy places the organism in Eukaryota, Metazoa, Arthropoda, Insecta, Hymenoptera, Diprionidae. The transcript has 2 exons. The record is from RefSeq and is a predicted model, not a curated record.
GAAAAAACGUUUUUGAGAAUUACGAUCGAUAGAAGGGUUCAUCCUAAUUUCGUACAUAAAUUACACCGAUUACGGAAUGGAAAUUUCCCUGGUUGUCGUUGUCCACCAACGCGUGCCAUUCGACAAAUUCAACGACUUGAUUGGUGUGGGUUUCUACAGCGUUGACGCUAGGUAUAUACCAAUGACUGAUCGCAAGUACGUACAUUCGCAAUGGGAUUCAUAAGAGAAACACUCACCUUUCUUUGACUUGGCACCGAUCUUCAGUCGCGAAGGCCAUGUGAUGAACGUAUUCGUUUCUUCCAUAACCUGGAA